UACGGUGGCUAUUGCGGAGGGGAAACACCUGUUCCCAUCUCGAACACAGAAGUUAAGACCUCCAGCGCCGAUGGUACUGCACUGGUAACGGUGUGGGAGAGUAGGUCGCCACCGUAU
RNAcentral lists this ribosomal RNA (117 nucleotides) under Actinomycetota bacterium. The record is from RNAcentral. Lineage: Bacteria; Bacillati; Actinomycetota.